GAGUUUGAUCCUGGCUCAGGAUGAACGCUAGCGAUAGGCUUAACACAUGCAAGUCGAGGGGCAGCACGUAUUCAGCUUGCUGAAUAUGGUGGCGACCGGCGGAUGGGUGCGUAACGCGUAUGCAACUUACCUGUCAGAGGGGGAUAACCCGGAGAAAUUCGGACUAAUACCGCAUACACUUGAGAUACUGCAUGGUAUUUCAAGGAAAUAUUUAUAGCUGACAGAUAGGCAUGCGUUCCAUUAGCUGGUAGGUGAGGUAACGGCUCACCUAGGCGACGAUGGAUAGGGGAACUGAGAGGUUAAACCCCCACACUGGUACUGAGACACGGACCAGACUCCUACGGGAGGCAGCAGUGAGGAAUAUUGGUCAAUGGGCGAGAGCCUGAACCAGCCAAUUCGCGUGAAGGAUGACUGCCCUAUGGGUUGUAAACUUCUUUAGUAGGGGAUUAAAGUUUGCCUUGCGAGGCAAUUGCAAGUACCCUAAGAAUAAGAUCGUAUUC
This 500-nucleotide ribosomal RNA is filed under the name Porphyromonas canoris. RNAcentral's name for it is "bacterial SSU rRNA". It matches the Rfam family "Bacterial small subunit ribosomal RNA", at positions 9 to 499 of the family's 1533-position model. Lineage: Bacteria; Pseudomonadati; Bacteroidota; Bacteroidia; Bacteroidales; Porphyromonadaceae. The record is from RNAcentral.